This 626-nucleotide ribosomal RNA is filed under the name uncultured bacterium. RNAcentral describes it as "bacterial SSU rRNA". The stretch from base 1 to 538 matches the Rfam family "Bacterial small subunit ribosomal RNA", at positions 338 to 873 of the family's 1533-position model. The record is from RNAcentral.
CCUACGGGAGGCAGCAGUAAGGAAUAUUGGACAAUGCUCGCAAGAGUGAUCCAGCCAUGCCGCGUGCAGGAAGAAUGCCCUAUGGGUAGUAAACUGCUUUUGAACUAGAGAAAAUCCCAGUACGUGUACUGGGCUGAUAGUAUAGUUAGAAUAAGCAUCGGCUAACUUCGUGCCAGCAGCCGCGGUAAGACGAAGGAUGCAAGCGUUAUCCGGAUUCAUUGGGUUUAAAGGGAGCGUAGGUGGACUGAUAAGUCAGUGGUGAAAUCUCCGAGCUUAACUCGGAAAUUGCCAUUGAUACUGUUGGUCUUGAGUACAGUUGCUGUGGGCGGAAUAUGACAUGUAGUGGUGAAAUACAUAGAGAUGUCAUAGAACACCGAUUGCGAAGGCAGCUCACAAAGCUGUAACUGACACUGAGGCUCGAAAGUGCGGGGAUCAAACAGGAUUAGAUACCCUGGUAGUCCGCACCGUAAACGAUGAUUACUCGCUGCUAGGGGGCAACCGUUUAGUGGCUUAGCGAAAGCGAUUAAGUUAAUCCACCUUGGGGAGUUCGCCGGCAACGGGUUGAAACGUUCAAAGAGAGUUAGGACGGNGNGAGAGNGACGGACGGACGACGACGGAGGAGGAAG